Molecule: ribosomal RNA, 253 nt
Filed under: uncultured bacterium
Lineage: Bacteria
Description: partial 16S ribosomal RNA
Rfam family: Bacterial small subunit ribosomal RNA
Source: RNAcentral
GACAGAGGGUGCAAGCGUUGUUCGGAAUCAUUGGGCGUAAAGCGCACGUAGGCGGCUUUGUAAGUCAGAUGUGAAAGCCCUGGGCUCAACCCAGGAAGUGCAUCUGAUACUGCAUCGCUGGAGUCUCGGAGAGGGUGGUGGAAUUCCUGGUGUAGAGGUGAAAUUCGUAGAUAUCAGGAGGAACACCAGUGGCGAAGGCGGCCACCUGGACGAAGACUGACGCUGAGGUGCGAAAGCGUGGGGAGCAAACAGG